UCUUCUCUUUUGAGAUUCCAAUGACAUUUUCAGGUAUCAUUCUUUUAGGGUUUUGAAAUAACUCCAUUGCUGUGUUCUCAGAUUAACAAAAGAGGGGGACUUGGUGGAAGAGAAGAUUAAGAAGCUUGAUGCUGCAAAUACAGAGAACAGAUAAAAAAGACGAGACCCGGUCCAUCUCAGGAAGCUAUCAAAGCUCGGGCUAUGCGGGUUCUGAAGCAGAAGAAAAUCAGGUACGAAGGACAACGUGACAUGCUGUAUAAUCAGACGUUCAACCUAGAUCAAGUUUCGUUCGCCGCCGAAGGCCUCAAAGACGCUCAACAAACUAUGACGGUGCUGAGAUCUGCCAACAAUGAAUUGAAAGGAAUGAUGAAAACAGUGAAGAUUCAAGAUGUAGAUGUAUGUUGAACUUCUUAACAAGACCUCUCUUUUCUUCAAGAAUCUCGGUAUUAGUUAGCCCCCCCCCCCCCCC
This is a long non-coding RNA of Tarenaya hassleriana, 469 nucleotides long. RefSeq lists it as uncharacterized. The record is from RefSeq and is a predicted model, not a curated record. The transcript is spliced from 3 exons. NCBI's taxonomy places the organism in Eukaryota, Viridiplantae, Streptophyta, Magnoliopsida, Brassicales, Cleomaceae.